GGUCGACAGAGGAGAGCGAGAAAGCGCGGGAAGAGCCAGAGACGCAGCGAGAACGGCGACGAACGAAGAGUCUGCGAAUUGCGAGCGACUUGAGCGGUUGUGCGUUGUGC
RNAcentral lists this microRNA precursor (110 nucleotides) under Rhipicephalus microplus (southern cattle tick). RNAcentral describes it as "microRNA rmi-mir-5329 precursor". Lineage: Eukaryota; Metazoa; Arthropoda; Arachnida; Ixodida; Ixodidae. The record is from miRBase by way of RNAcentral.